CAGACACGGUCUUUAGUCUGGCGUCCGUGUCUGAGGGUAUUUUAAAAGUUAAUGUAAUUGGGGGUAAAGUAAAAGGAGAUCCUGAAGCCAGAGUGUAAGACAGAAGGAAUGUUUGCACGACGUACUCAAACGGGGUGUGCAACACUGUAAACACUGUGGGGGAGACUACGGGAUGAACGCGGGCCCUACGACCUCCUGGGAUCCUGAGCUGGGACAAGGUGUCUGAGUCCCAGUUCCCUUGUCUGUGCCACAAGGAGUUGAUCACCGCACGACGCCUUUCGGUUUUACAGAUCUACACGGAAUGCAUGCCCCGGGCCCGGCAGACAGCGUCUCAGCCAUCUCGUCACGGAGCCCGGGCCAGCGCGGCGGCAGGACUCCCCUAUGGACAAGUGCUGCAAACAUGGAGCUUGAACUCACAACCCUGAGAUCAAGACCCAAAUGCUCCACCGACUGAGUCAGCCAGAUGCCCCAAAAGCUAAUUCAGACUUGGACUGCAUUCAGAGUAUCACAGUAGCUAUGUCUGGGGAGAGAACAGUCUGUGAUCAAAAUGUAUUUGCAGCAUUGCUCUUAAUUCUGCAAGCUGGGUUCAGACGAUGGGAACCACGAAAUCCUCCAUACCCACGCCACCUUCAACAGUCUCAGAAGUGGACUAAGCAUCAGUGACAUGAAGAAUCUGGGAAGAGACCACUGACCGUCCAUUUGCCUCUGCCCCUGUACGCAUCAUUCCCCCAGCUCCACAUCCCCUGGGAAUAUGGAAGAGCCCUGAGUCACUUCGGCAACAGUUUGGAAGUAGACCCUUUCACAAAGGCUUGGAAAACCACAAGUUUCAACUGCAAAUUAGUUCUGUGACUUCUUAUCGUUUCUCAUUCUGGACCAUCUGCAAAGCGUGAUUAGCACAAGAAAGUGCCAAGGGCGGGAAUAAGGCUGGCGAUACACGGGGUCGGAUGUCACCUCGUGACGCCCGGCAGCGGCGACAAGCUUUCGCCCCCUCCCGGUCAGCCCCGCGAUCAGGACGGCUCUUCCGAGCCACUCAAAGACUGUUACAACUGAACACUCACCGCACGAAUCCCGUGUUUGAAUACUGGUGUUCAAGGGCACAGGAUCUGAACUUGAACGCAAAUUAGACACUGAGGGUUUGAAUGCGCAGCCUCAUAUUUACCAAGAGUGUGAUCUGAACAAUACUCCUCUCUUCAUGCCUCCCUUUUCUCAUUUGUGGAAGGGACCUCAAGGAGGUUGAAUGGGAAUCCUUCCUCGGAGGGUGGUUGUGGGAAUGAUGUAAGUUAUGGAUGUAAAGCGUUUGGAACUCUGGCCACGGGAGGCCCUAUGCAUGUGAUUAUUACUGCAUUCGUGGUUGGGAAGAUUAGCCUGUGUGCCUGGCACACGCCCGACACUCAAUAAAUGGAAACUGUGUCUGUUUUUCUUUCUUGCAGUUGUUAUUAUACAUUGGU
This is a long non-coding RNA of Neogale vison (American mink), 1448 nucleotides long. RefSeq lists it as uncharacterized. Lineage: Eukaryota; Metazoa; Chordata; Mammalia; Carnivora; Mustelidae. The transcript has 6 exons. The record is from RefSeq and is a predicted model, not a curated record.